GCUUCAGUGGCCCACUCCGGACCUCUGCCCAGCCUGCCAUGAGGAAAUUAAGGGCCUGGCCAGCUGGGAUGAAGGCCACGUGCUCACAUUCUUGAAGCAGCACUAUGGCCGCGACAACCUCUUAGACACGUAUUCCGCAGACCAGGGGGAUUCCAGUGAAGGAGGAACCCUGGCCAGGGGUGAGGAAGAGGAGAAAAGACUCACUCCCCCAGAGGUGUCCCAUGGAGACCGAGACACCCAGAGCGUCCGUCCACCUGGUGCACUGGGCCCCAGGCCUGCCCUUCCAGAGAGCUUGCAUCACAGCUUGGACGGGAAACUCCAGAGUCUGGAUGGGCCCGGGGCCCACAAGGAGGUGGGCGGGGCCGCACCCUUCCUCGGGGUUGACUUCUCCAGCCUGGACAUGAGUCUCUGUGUCGUGCUGUACGUGGCUUCAUCCCUGUUCCUCAUGGUGAUGUACUUCUUCUUCCGGGUGAGGUCCAGGCGGUGGAAGGUCAAGCACCACCACCCGGCCGUGUGAGUGCCCGGGUGCUGCCAGCCACGGCGGAAGCUCCCUUGGAGGCAGCCCUGCCCCGUGCCACCUGCAGCUUUAAUAUUUAUGAUCAGGGAUUUUAUAAACAUGCGGGCCUGGUUUCACAUCGGAUGGCACCUUUUGGCUUCAAAGUCCUGGUUUUACAAACGCUCUUCUAACAAGGGAAGAACACGGGGUAAUUUUGUGGGGAUAUUUGCAUUCCUGGCGUACUCAAGUCUGUUCAUGCUCCUUUUGCAGGUCUUACAGCAAAAAGACUUCUGUAUUUUUACUCUUCUAGAUGUGAAAAGAGGGUGCAGAGUCCAGGCCAGAUAGUCUUCCCCACACACUUUCAUCUCGUUUCCUCCACUCCGCCCCAUCCUGCAGGGCCUUGUUUUUGUAUUUGGAGAACCUCGCCCAUCCCCCCCGCGGCUCCUGGCUCCCCCCCACUCCCCUCGCUCCCCCUCCCCCCGCUCCCCCCACGCCCCCUGCUCCAGGCUGCCAAGUGUUUUCCUUUAGCCGGGCGGGGACAGACAGAGCCGGAAGCGCAGUCGGCCUCUGCAGCCCCUCCAAGCAAGUGCUCCAGGGACUAUCCUGUGUUUGUAGCUGCUUCCCUAGGGCAGGUUCCUGAGGGCUCUCCUUGUUCCUCCGGGUGUUCGACACCAGACGUGGGGAUUUCAACAGGGGAGGAGCCAAGGAAUUCUGUGGCUGUGCUGCGUUUCAGAAAAUAACCCCCAGAGGCCUUGGGCUGUGGACCUGGGGGUUGGAAGGAUGGGGGCUCAUUUAACCCUCAGAGGCAGCGCCUUUGUCUGUCUAUCUGGUGACAAGAGAGAGACAAGUAAAUGGGGGCCGUUGGGACGGCGGGUGCCUGGAGGGCAGCUCUGGGCUCAGCGGGCAGUGCUUAGAGCACAGGCCCCUCUGUUGGGGGAUGGGGAGGAGAGCAGUCUGCCCUUGGGAGCGUAGGCCCCAGGGAGACUUCUAAAGCCCCCCCUGUCGUCUGCUCUUCACCCAGCACCACAGAGGCACCUGCUGCACACACAAGCAUCUCACUCGGCCCACGGAGGGGGCCAGGCUUCCUUUGCCUGAAGCUGUUUUGGGAAGGGUCUCCACACAGGCACUGAUCUCCCAAGCUUUUGUCAUGAUGUCUUUUACCAUUUGAUAAUUUUAAACAUUGUUUUUAAACCCAAAACAUUUAGUGGUCCGUUGCCUCUGAAGAUGUAAACAAACAAAUACACUAUUUCUGGGAACAUUUAUAUUGAGAUUCUUUGUGGCUAUUGGUGUGUCUCACAGGCAAAAUUUGAUUUGGCUAAAAUAGGCUCAGAUGUAUUUGUGUGCCCGUGUGUGUGUGUGUGUGUGUGUGUGUGUGU
RNAcentral lists this long non-coding RNA (1872 nucleotides) under Homo sapiens (human). RNAcentral's name for it is "non-protein coding lnc-LHX3-1:1". Lineage: Eukaryota; Metazoa; Chordata; Mammalia; Primates; Hominidae. The record is from RNAcentral.